GGCCGGGUGGCUUAGCUGGACAUAGCGCCGCACUCAUAGGGUUCAGAGAUUCGGUGCGGUACGCUGCCUUGGAAGCGUCCGCGUCCUUCCCGUGGCUCCGCCGAGCCUCGGACCUGGGACAUGCGGAGAUCGUGGGUUCGGAGCCCACCCCGGCCA
This 156-nucleotide transfer RNA is filed under the name Halorubrum vacuolatum. RNAcentral's name for it is "tRNA_Met_CAT". Lineage: Archaea; Methanobacteriati; Methanobacteriota; Halobacteria; Halobacteriales; Haloferacaceae. The record is from RNAcentral.